Molecule: non-coding RNA, 100 nt
Organism: Actinobacteria bacterium RBG_16_64_13
Lineage: Bacteria; Bacillati; Actinomycetota
Source: Rfam
UAGGCAGACUCGAAGGUAUGUGACUGCCAGACCGGGCACGAGAAGACGAUCACCGGGCUUAUGGCGAUGCUGGCAGGGUCCAGCACCAUCUACGGUCCUG